CACGUAGUUAGCCGUGGCUUUCUGGUUAGAUACCGUCAAGGCGCUAACAGUUACUCUAGCACUUGUUCUUCUCUAACAACAGAGUUUUACGAUCCGAAAACCUUCUUCACUCACGCGGCGUUGCUCCGUCAGACUUGCGUCCAUUGCGGAAGAUUCCCUACUGCUGCCUCCCGUAGGAGUUUGGGCCGUGUCUCAGUCCCAAUGUGGCCGAUCACCCUCUCAGGUCGGCUAUGCAUCACGGCCUUGGUGAGCCGUUACCUCACCAACUAGCUAAUGCACCGCGGGUCCAUCCAUCAGCAGAAGCUUGCGCCUCUUUUCCUCCUUCAACCAUGCGGUUAAAGGACCUAUGCGGUUUUAGCAUCCGUUUCCGAAUGUUAUCCCCCUCUGAUGGGCAGGUUACCCACGUGUUACUCACCCGUUCGCCACUAGAUUGACCAGUGCAAGCACCGGUCGCUCUCGUUCGACUUGCAUGUAUUAGGCACGCCGCCAGCGUUCGU
Molecule: ribosomal RNA, 497 nt
Filed under: uncultured Granulicatella sp.
Lineage: Bacteria; Bacillati; Bacillota; Bacilli; Lactobacillales; Carnobacteriaceae
Description: partial 16S ribosomal RNA
Source: RNAcentral